Molecule: ribosomal RNA, 501 nt
Filed under: uncultured bacterium
Lineage: Bacteria
Description: partial 16S ribosomal RNA
Rfam family: Bacterial small subunit ribosomal RNA
Source: RNAcentral
AUUGAACGCUGGCGGCAGGCUUAACACAUGCAAGUCGAGCGGGGGGAGGUAGCUUGCUACCGGACCUAGCGGCGGACGGGUGAGUAAUGCUUAGGAAUCUGCCUAUUAGUGGGGGACAACAUCUCGAAAGGGAUGCUAAUACCGCAUACGUCCUACGGGAGAAAGCAGGGGAUCUUCGGACCUUGCGCUAAUAGAUGAGCCUAAGUCGGAUUAGCUAGUUGGUGGGGUAAAGGCCUACCAAGGCGACGAUCUGUAGCGGGUCUGAGAGGAUGAGCCGCCACACUGGGACUGAGACACGGACCAGACUCCUACGGGAGGCAGCAGUGGGGAAUAUUGGACAAUGGGGGGAACCCUGAUCCAGCCAUGCCGCGUGUGUGAAGAAGGCCUUAUGGUUGUAAAGCACUUUAAGCGAGGAGGAGGCUACUCUAGUUAAUACCUAGGGAUAGUGGACGUUACUCGCAGAAUAAGCACCGGCUAACUCUGUGCCAGCCGCCGCAGUAA